RNAcentral lists this ribosomal RNA (326 nucleotides) under uncultured eukaryote. RNAcentral's name for it is "partial 18S ribosomal RNA". It matches the Rfam family "Eukaryotic small subunit ribosomal RNA", at positions 1470 to 1796 of the family's 1831-position model. The record is from RNAcentral.
CCCUUAGAUGUUCGGGGCCGCACGCGCGCUACACUGAAAGAAUCAGCUGGUAAGUUGCUCCUGGCUUGGAAACGUCGGGCAACCCGUUGAACCUCCUUCGUGCUUGGGAUUGGGGCUUGCAAUUAUUCCCCAUGAACGAGGAAUUCCCAGUAGGCGCGAGUCAUCAGCUCGCGUCGAUUACGUCCCUGCCCUUUGUACACACCGCCCGUCGCUCCUACCGAUUGAAUGUUCCGGUGAGCUCUUCGGACUGCGCGGUCUGCAGUUUCUGCGUUCCGUGCGGAAAGUUGCGCAAACCUUAACAUUUAGAGGAAGGAGAAGUCGUAACA